Molecule: long non-coding RNA, 4378 nt
Filed under: Lathyrus oleraceus (garden pea)
Lineage: Eukaryota; Viridiplantae; Streptophyta; Magnoliopsida; Fabales; Fabaceae
Description: Pisum sativum (pea) long non-coding RNA (PSAT_LNC019699)
Source: RNAcentral
GUUGAUGAUGCCGUAUUAAUUUAAAUUAUCAUAUACUCUAUAACUUAUAAAUAGUAUUAUUGUGCAAUGUUGUGAGAAAUUCACACCACAACGACGGUUAUUUGCAAGCAACAUAUAUACGGACCAAAAUCGCGAGAGUCACAUCGCGACCACAACUCGAAUGAGACUAUUUUUUAAAAUCUUGCAGGCAUCCAUUAGAGUUAAGUAUAACUAUAAUACCUAAAUAAAAUAAAUAACAAUAUAUUCAAAUUCACCACUUCUGUCUCAAGUUGAAUAGCUAUUCUCGACCGUUGUUAGGUCAUUCACAAAUGAUAUCGCAACAUAUUAAUAAUUAAAAAUUAGUGGUUAAUAGACAAAGAUAAUGCCUUUUAAUAUAAAAAUAAUCUUCGCUUUCUCAAUCGCCAAAAUAAAUAGCACGAACAUAUUCAAUCUUUAGUGACCAAUAGCGAUCGGAGACAAUUUUUUUUGUAGUAUUAUCAAAUUAGUAUCCAAAACUUGAGUCUCUAAAUGAUAUUUCUAAUGUUGUGCUUGACUUUAAGAUGAAUGUAAUAAUUAGAUAUGGAAUAUAUAUUAAUUCCGUGUUAAAUUUAAAAUAAAAUGUAAGUUAAGUUAAAGAAAAAUCUCAAUUAUUAAAAUUUUAUAGUUAAUGUAGGGUGAAAACUGACAUAACAAAAUAAUUUUUAAUUUAAAUACUAAAAAUACUAUAAGAUUGUAAUGAAUGUAUGAAAAAUGAAUACUUGAAUUGAUACCUAAAAUUUAUAAAAAGAGAUAGUCUAAGUAAUAUUAAUUGAGACCUUAUUUUAUUUCAUAGCCUUCAUCUUAGAUUAUAAAGUCAUAAAAAUACAAUUCUUGAAAUUAAAUAAGAAAAUAAAAACAAAAGUUAAGUGACAGCACAAUUGAUAUAGUGAAAUUGGCCACUCUCUUGGAUAAUGAUCCUAUAUACUCCCUCUGUUUUUAUAUAAGUUUUUUUGGGAAGAAAAUUUAUAAUAAAAUAUAAAUUUGUUUUGUAAUACUACAAAAUUAUUAAUAUUAUUUUUUAAUUCUGUUCCAUACAGAAUGAUUAUUUUUUUAAGAUGUGUGGAAAAUAAAAAACAAUUUAUAAAAAGCAGAGAUAAUAUAAUAUUAAGAAGAUAUAAACUCUUCUGCCGCUGCUACACAUCUACACCAACUACUGACACACUUUACUGUCUUAGGUUCUUCACACAAAUAUGGAAGACAACCCGAAUCAGUAGAACAUCGAUAGAACACGGCUGUGAGGAUAAGAGAUGAUAAAGUAAUCAAAAUCAUAUUGGUCAAAAUAUUGUGUACAAAUUAAAUAAGAAAGUUUGAAAAACAUAAAAAUGACUUACAUUCAACAACGUUUAUAGAAGCAAAACAUAGAAAAGAUAUGAUAAUUGUCACAUAAACAAACUUUAUAAUUUUAGCCAUAUUUCUUCUCUUUUCCAUGUAAUAAAUGGUUUUAUCAUUUUAUACUUAUAAAGUUCAUCCUCUGUUACAUCAGUAAAAUAUUGUUUUAGCUCUUGCAGAAAUGCAAAAAAACACUUUGUUAAAUUAUUAUUAAAUAUCACUUCAUUAAAUUAUAAUGAUGAUCAAAUGUCCCAUAUGUUGUUUAUUAAUGUAUUAGAUAGAGAUGAUAAUUUGAUUUUAAUGAUUAUUUAUAAACUACUCACAUUAAAUAGAAUAAAGAUUCAUAAAAAUAAAUAUGGAUACAUGUUCACGCAAUUAUCCAAUAAAAUAAAUGGUAUAUAUAUGAGCAUGAAUAAUAUAUAUAUAUAUAUAUAUAUAUAUAUAUAUAUAUAUAUAUAUAUAUAAAAGAUUAAUUGAAAUACAUUUUUAGUAUAAAAGAAUUUUAUACAGUCACUUAAUUAUAACCGUUGGAUGUUGGGACAAGUUUGAUUUUUAUUUUAAAAAUCUAUAAAGUAAUGCAAAUCGAUGAUGGUGAUGAAUCGAUUGCGUAAAACUUUUUACACUGACAGUGCAUAUUAAUUAAUCCAUAUAUAUAUAUAUAUAUAUAAUAUUAUAUAUAAUAUAUAAUAUAUAAAAUUAUUAUAUUUAUAUAUAUAUUUAUAUAUAUAUAUAUAUAUAUAUAUAUAUAAUAUAUAUAUAUAUAUAUAUAUAUAUAUAUAUAUUAUGACCAAACGACAUCAAGGUGUCAAAUUUAAUAAUAUGUCAUCUUUGAUCAUUCUUUACCGCGUAUUCCUAUAAUAAAAUUCACCAUUAGAUUGAAAGCUAUUAUCAUAUAAAUCAUGUUUAUAAAAUUUAACAUCAAUCGAAAAUGAUUUGAUAUGUCAAUAAGAUGCUUGAAAACUAACUUUUAAAAAUUUCAACAAAUUGUUAUCAUUCUCUUUAACAUAUCAAAUUUUAUUUAUUUAUGUUAAAUUUUAUAGACAUGAUCUAUAUGACAAUAGAUUUUAAUCCAACAAUGAAUUUUGUUAUAGGGAUAUCUAGAAAAAAAUAUGAUAAUUGUCACAUAAACAAACUUUAUAAUUUUAGCUAUAUUUCUUUCCUUUUCCAUGUAAUAAAUGGUUUUAUCAUUUUAUAAUUAUAAAGUUCAUCAUUUGUUACAUCAGUAAAAUAUUGUUUUAGCUCUUUCAGAAAUGCAAAAAACACUUUGUUAAAUUAUUAUUAAAUGUCACUUCAUUAAACUAUAAUGAUUAUUAAAUGUCCCAUAUGUUGUUUAUUAAUGUAUUAGAUAGAGAUGAUAAUUUGAUUUUAAUGAUUAUUUAUAGAAAUAAUCACAUUAAAUAGAAUAAAAAUUCAUAAAAAUAAAUAUGGAUACAUGUUCACGAAAUUAUCCAAUAAAAUAAAUGGAUAUAUAUCUUAACAUGAAUAAAUAUAUAUAUAUAUAUCUAAAUAAAAUAAAUUAGGGUUAAGUAUAACUAUAAUACCUAAAUAAAAUAAAUAAUAAUAUAUUUAAAUUCACCACUUCUGUCUCAAGUUGAGUAGCUAUUCUCGACCAUUGUUAGGUCAUUCACAAACGAUAUCGCAACAUAUUAAUAAUUAAAAAUUAGUAGUUAAUAGAAAAAGAUAAUGCCUUUUAAUCUAAAAAUAAUCUUCGCUUUCUCAAUCGCCAAAAUAAAUAGCACAAACAUAUUCAAUCAAUAGUGACCAAUAGCGAUCGGAGACAAAUUUUCUUGUAGUAUUAUCAAAUUAGUAUCCAAAAUUCUAAUGUUGUCCUUGACUUUAAGAUGAAUGUAAUAAUUAGAGAUGGAAUAUAUAUUAAUUCCGUGUUAAAUUAAAAUAAAAUGUAAGUUAAAUUAAAGAAAAAUCUCAAUUAUUAAAAUUUUAUAGUUAAUGUAGGGUGAAAACUGACAUAAAAAAAUAAUUUUCGAUUUAAAUACUAAAGAUAUUAUAAGAUUGUAAUGAAUGUAGGAAAAAUGAAUACUUGAAUUGAUACCUAAAAUUUAUAAAAAGAGAUAGUCUAAGUAAUAUUAAUUGAGACCUUAUUUUAUUUCAUAGCCUUCAUCUUAGAUUAUAAAGUCAUAAAAAUACAAUUCUUGAAUUAAAUAAGAAAAUAAAAACAAAAGUUAAGUGACAGCACAAUUGAUAUAGUGAAAUUGGCCACUCUCUUGGAUAAUGAUCCGAUAUACUCCCUCUGUUUUUAUAUAAGUUUUUUGGAAAGAAAAUUUAUAAUAAAAUAUAAAUUUGUUUUGUAAUACUAAAAAAUUAUUAAUACUAUUUUUUAAUUCUGUUCCAUACAGAAUGAUUAUUUUUUUAAGAUGUGUGAAAAAUAAAAAACAAUUUAUUAAAAGCAGAGAUAAUAUAAUAUUAAGAAGAUAUAAACUCUUCUGCCGCUGCUACACAUCUACACCAUUUUCUGACACACUUUACUGUCUUAGGUUCUUGACACAAAUAUGGAGGACAGCCCGCAUCAUUAGAACAUCGAUAGAACACGGCUGUGAGGAUAAGAGAUGAUAAAGUAAUGAAAAUCAUAUUGGUUAAAAUAUUGUGUACAAAUUAAAUAAGAAAGUUUGAAAAACAUAAAAAUGACUUACAUGCAACGUUAUUAGAAGCAAAAAAUAGAAAAAAUAUUAUAAUUGUCACAUAAACAAACUUUAUGAUUUUGGCCAUAUUUCUUCCCUUUUCCAUGUAAUAAAUGGUUUUACCAUUUUAUAAUUAUAAAGUUCAUCCUUAGUUACAUCAGAAAAAUAUUAUUUUAACUCUUGGAGAUUUGCAAAAAAAAACCCUUCGUUAAAAUUAUUAUUAAAUGUCACUUCAUUAAAUUAUAAUGAUUAUUAAAUUUCCCAUAUGAUUAUUAAUGUAUUGCGUAUAUAUGAUAAUUUGACUCAUCUUUAAUGGUUAUUCAUAAAAUCACUUAUAAUAAAUAUAAUAAAAAUUCGCAAAAAAAAACGAAUACGAGUUCAAGUAAUUAUCCAAU